GAUGAACGCUAGCGGCAGGCCUAAUACAUGCAAGUCGAACGGUGGUAGCAAUACCAUAGUGGCGCACGGGUGCGUAACGCGUAGCCAACCUGCCCAGACCUGGGGGAUAGCCCGCCGAAAGGCGGAUUAAUACCGCAUAAGACAAUGGCCUGGCAUCGGGCAGUUGUUAAAGAUUUAUCGGGUUUGGAUGGGGCUGCGUGUCAUUAGCUAGUUGGCGGGGUAACGGCCCACCAAGGCGACGAUGACUAGGGGGGCUGAGAGGCUGGUCCCCCAAACGGGGACUGAGAUACGGGCCCGACUCCUACGGGAGGCAGCAGUAGGGAAUAUUGGGCAAUGGGCGAGAGCCUGACCCAGCCAUGCCGCGUGCAGGAAGAAGGCUUUCUGAGUCGUAAACUGCUUUUGCCAGGGAAGAACAAGCGGGACGUGUCCCGCCCUGACGGUACCUGGUGAAUAAGCACCGGCUAACUCCGUGCCAGCCGCCGCUGUAA
Molecule: ribosomal RNA, 488 nt
Filed under: uncultured bacterium
Lineage: Bacteria
Description: partial 16S ribosomal RNA
Rfam family: Bacterial small subunit ribosomal RNA
Source: RNAcentral